GUAGAGUGACAUUUUUUAGAGAUAGAAUUCCCUUCGGGGCUUUCUGCAAGGUGCUGCAUGGUUGUCGUCAGCUCGUGCCGUGAGGUGUCGGGUUAAGUCCCAUAACGAGCGCAACCCUUAUCGUUAGUUGCCAUCUGGUAAUGCAGGGGACUCUAGCGAAACUGCCACCGUAAGGUGAGAGGAAGGUGGGGAUGACGUCAAAUCAUCAUGCCCCUUAUGUUCUGGGCUACACACGUGCUACAAUGGCCGGUACAGACGGACGCAAAGCCGCGAGGUGGAGCAAAUCCUAAAAAAGCCGGUCUCAGUUCGGAUUGAGGGCUGCAAUUCGCCUGCAUGAAGUCGGAAUCGCUAGUAAUCGCAGGUCAGCAUACUGCGGUGAAUACGUUCCCGGGCCUU
Molecule: ribosomal RNA, 396 nt
Filed under: uncultured Sphingobacteriales bacterium
Lineage: Bacteria; Pseudomonadati; Bacteroidota; Sphingobacteriia; Sphingobacteriales
Description: bacterial SSU rRNA
Rfam family: Bacterial small subunit ribosomal RNA
Source: RNAcentral